GUGCAUUGUAGUUGCAUUGCAUGCGCCGCCAGCAUCAGAGGUGCAAUGCACUUGCAGUGCAGUA
Molecule: microRNA precursor, 64 nt
Filed under: Petromyzon marinus (sea lamprey)
Lineage: Eukaryota; Metazoa; Chordata; Hyperoartia; Petromyzontiformes; Petromyzontidae
Description: Pma-Mir-33-o3_pre stem-loop
Source: RNAcentral